This 216-nucleotide ribosomal RNA is filed under the name Glomeromycotina sp. RNAcentral's name for it is "partial small subunit ribosomal RNA". The stretch from base 40 to 216 matches the Rfam family "Eukaryotic small subunit ribosomal RNA", at positions 686 to 864 of the family's 1831-position model. The record is from RNAcentral. Lineage: Eukaryota; Fungi; Glomeromycota.
GGGUCAGUAGGUUGGUCGUGCCACCGGUACGUACUGGUCUCACUGAUUCCUCCUUCCUGAAGAACCGUAAUGCCAUUAAUUUGGUGUUGCGGGGAAACAGGACUGUUACUUUGAAGAAAUUAGAGUGUUUAAAGCAAGCUAACGCUUGAAUACAUUAGCAUGGAAUAAUGAAAUAGGACGAUCGAUCCUAUUUUGUUAGUUUCUAGGAUUGACGUA